CAUGUCGUUUCUCUUUCAUUCUGCACCGCUCCCGCGCACCUCCCCCUCCUUUCUUUCGAUUCGGUCUUCCCCGUCACCCUUUGCCUUUCAAGGUCUGCGAUGUCGAACAUGUGCACUUCUCUCUCUCGUGUCUCUCUCUCCCCUGCUUCUCUUCCUUUCCUCAUGCCCAUCCUCCAUUCCACUAGACCGUCAUGUCACCACCAUUGGUGCAUCACGCGAGGAAGGGAGCCACACUGAGAACAGAAGAAGACAGAAGAGCCCCACGCCGUGCGUCUCUGUGCCUUCGCCUGUGCCUGCUCUCGAUUCGUCUUUGCAAGCUCUCUUUCUUUCCCUGCCUCUAUCUCACAUUCCUGCUGCAUCCAUGAGCCUCGCUCAACGCGUCCUUCCUCUUUUCUAUCGCCGUUGUCCCUCGGCCGUCGUCGUCUCUUUCUCUCCCCCCUCCUCCUCCAAUCAUCCACCUGCUGCGAAGGAAACAAGCAAGCUCUCUGCGGCGGGCAUGGCGCCGUGCCCCGCGGUGACACGGCAGACGUGCACAGUAGAAACUGCGCGCUGCCCAGUCUUCACGUGCACUGCAGGCUUGGCCCCUAUCUUUCUCUUCACAGACCCUCAACACCAACGCCCUCCCCCUCCCCCUUACACGUUGAUCGUAUGCAUCGUGCUUCACGGCUUGCUCGUGCGCUUGAUAGGCACGAAAGAGGUGCGGAGUGCGCACAUACGUUCACGUAUGCAUGCAUGCAUAGAUGUACAUGGAUGGAGCACCGCAGGGUCAUUUCUUCGGGGACGCGCCAGUCUGCUCUCACUCCCACGACUGUGAUGGCACUCAACCUCACACCCUCUCCUCUGCUCCAGCUUUCUGCUUACUAUUCGAAGUCCCAGUACGGUUAAUCGUGGCACUUCGAACUCUCCUUCUCGAUAGAGGUUGUUGCCAUCAAGGCCGUACGAGAUGCACGAGCUUCGUGGUGCGACGCAUGUCGGUGCGUUGCUGCCGAUACUGUGGAGCUCUCAGCAUAUUGUUCACCGCCUUUUCAGCCUUCUGGUGGGCGUGCUCAAGCGCACACCUACGCAAGCAUUCGAAGAGAGAGAAAUAAAAAGGAUUCGCUACCGCUUUUCUGUGCCCACGAGAGGAGUGUCCCCCCCCCCCCCCCCACACACACACACAGCCACCGGGAGCAGGCAGCUUUCACCAACCAGCUUCUCAUCUCCGCAAAGGGCUGGCGAGCCAUCGUGCGCUCCAGUUCUUGAAAACAUAGAUGAACUGAAGUCAAAGUGAAGAGCGAGAAGCGGAACACAUCGGAGGUGCCAUACCCCCCCCCCCCCCCCCCCCCCCCCUUCUCUUCCCACGCGCUCGCACAGACUGCAGUGGGAAAGGAGGGAGUCUGUCUUGAAUGGUGCUCCGUUUGACGUUGUCCCAUUCGCGUGGGUCGGGCCUGUGUGCGUGUAUACGCGUGGCUUUGUGUAGGGUGGUGCGGUGGCUGUACACACGCUGCAUCAGUACAGCGACAUCAUCUUGCCGAGUGGUGAUGCCUGCUGGCGAUGCCAGCAAGAGUCUCUUAUUAUUAUCUGUACGACCCCUUCAUGUUGUCCCUAAGACGGAGGGAGGGAAGGGCUGGGGGGGGCGCGCAGCGUAGUGCUGCGUCACUUUUCCCUCCUUGUUUGCGGUGCUCAGCUUUAACCAACCAGCUUCGUAUCUUGGCAGCUGGGGCUUGCGAGUACGCAGCUGCCGCACUCUCCCGUAGAUACUUGAGGUCAAAGUAAAGAGCAAGACGGGAUGUGUUUACGCUUGAAAGUUGCGUAUGUGCUUACGUGGGUGCUCGUGAAGGUGACGACAGAGUUCACAGGAGGAAUGCUCGAUGGACACGCUGCAUCAGUACAGCGACAUCAUCUAGCCGAGUGGUGAUGCCUGCUGGCGAUGCCAGCAAGAUUGCGUGGGUGUGCGGUAUUCGAGGCGCACUUGCGAUAUAUAUGUUUAUGUAAACUUUGUGCGCAUGCGCUGUGGGUGUGUCUGUGCCUUGCAUGGGUCGUUCGAGACACGCGAGGCGAGAGGAAGGCGAAAGUGAUGGAGAACGCAAUCGAAUGGGAUGCUUAGGUCUAGUCGUCUACGCGUGCGCACGCUUAUGGGCACAUCUGCACUCUGCUGACACGCAAAAAAACACGUACACGCAUGCACACACACGCACAGAUGCACUACCACCGUCGUACCGUUGAUGAUCAAUUUUAUGUUUUUGUGAGCUCAAUCGGAGCGCUCUCCUGAAAUUUAACCUGUCGUAUCUGGACCCUUUAACUCUGACGUACGGCAUGUGCGUGCACGUGUACCUGUAUGUGUGUCUCCUUUAGUCUCUGUUGGGGACCCGCGAGCAUGAGCGGGCGGCUGAUCAGAGCAACUAGAGCUUGUACACCUCCCUGGAGGCGAUGGAAGCCACAGCACGUGCCUGUGUGAUGCUGCUCAUUGUCCCUUCUUCAGACAGGAGCAUCCUUGGGCCGGUUGUGCUACACUGGUGAAUGCCAGGGAAAGCAAGGAGAGCGGGCACGCCGAGGCAGGGCUUGUGUGGUGCUGCGCGUGCUGCUCCUCCCAUUGCGCACGGUUGUGGUGGUGCUAUGUGUGUGUCUCUUGCUUUUCUCAGAGUGGUGUGCCGCGCAUAAUACGUCGGCGGCCGUUGCCACGCGCAUGUUGAAGCCCGGAAGUCGCGCGACAAUGACAACGAAGGCCCAGCUGGAUAGUGGCGGCUAAAGG
RNAcentral lists this unclassified non-coding RNA (2731 nucleotides) under Leishmania donovani. RNAcentral describes it as "gene:unknown". The stretch from base 1481 to 1545 matches the Rfam family "Trypanosomatid snoRNA TB11Cs5H2". The record is from RNAcentral. Lineage: Eukaryota; Euglenozoa; Kinetoplastea; Trypanosomatida; Trypanosomatidae.